Molecule: ribosomal RNA, 318 nt
Filed under: Planctomycetota bacterium
Lineage: Bacteria; Pseudomonadati; Planctomycetota
Description: partial 23S ribosomal RNA
Rfam family: Bacterial large subunit ribosomal RNA
Source: RNAcentral
AUACGUGAGCUGGGUUCAGACCGGCGUGAGCCAGGUCGGUCCCUAUCUGUCGUGGGUGUAGGAGGAUUGAGGAGACGUGACCCUAGUACGAGAGGAUUGGGUCGCACCGACCUCUGGUGUGCCGGUUGUCGCGCUAGCGGCAGUGCCGGGUAGCUAUGUCGGGACAGGAGAAACGCUGAAAGCAUAUAAGCGUGAAGCCAACUCCGAAACGAGUCCUCCCUAUCAGGCCCCUUGAAGACCACAAGGUAAUAGGCCGGACGUAGAGACGCCGCAAGGCGUGCAGCGGACCGGUACUAAUCGGCCGAUCGGCUUGACCAC